CAGACCCUCACGAUAUCAAGGACGACGAUAAGAGUUUCUCUGUAAGGUCGACCAAGUCUUCGACCACGACUUCCGGUCAUCGCCUGCGAAGUCUGACGUUUACGGCUUCUUGCUGGCCGAGAUCUCGGGAGUGAUACGAUUCGCAAGUGGGUCGUCAUUGGAUCGAAUAAGGUAUCCUCCCAGGUGAGUAGCGCGCGAUGCGGUUAAAGUUUAUCUAGCAUCCUAACGCGUUAGUGUAAAUUAACCGUCCUGGAAAAAGGCAUCGCGAAAACUAUUGUUCAUCCGUCGUAAAUCAAUACUCGAUCCUCUCAGACCUUCCAGCGGCCUAUAUCGGCGCCGUUAACUGACAUUACAACGAUGGCGAGCUCGCGUGCAGAUAAAAUCGCGACAAUUAGCAUACGUGAGGUCAGUCGAUGGAUUCAAUGAGAAAGAGGUACGACGGAACGUCACACCUGCAAUGUCUUGCACUCGUUGUGACGAACUGCACCAAAAAUGUUCGAAAGCCUGGCAAUCUGUUUGCCAACGAACCGUCAACCGUCCACGUGAACUAUCUUGAUGACUAACUCCAUCCCUGGGACGUAGAACUGGAUCUUUAAAGAAUUCAAGAUGAAACCAGACGUUUACUAUGCGAAUGAUCAUGUAAAGCACAUCGUAAAGAUUGUAAUAUUCAAGAACAUGCUUGUCAUAAAAUUGAUUCGAGUAAAACGAGCAAAGACAAAUAAUAAUAAUAAUACUAUAGGAGGUAUCGGCAUGCGUUUUGUUUAUCCGCCAUAAAUUCUCCAAGAUACUACUCGAUACAUCUGCAAGAUAAGGCAAACGAUAGCGCUACGUUAUACAAAAUUCAUAAGUGUGAUUUAUUGCAUGUGCAGCGUAUUGCAUUCUCCCGUCGAUAUCUAUAAAUAUAUUACAGAAAUUUCUGACUCGUUUAUAUUGUUCCACCAAUUAUAUUUUCAUUAAUUACACGUUUCUAAAUCUUAUUCAUUCUUAUUGAUGGUAUUAAUUCAUUCUGAUUACUUGAUUUAUUAUCUAUUAAGUCUUUAAUUCUAGAUUUUUAUUCCAGUUAUUUUAUCUUCUUUUUCCAUAGGAGCGCUGUUUCCUUUUGUUCAAAGAUUUACGAAUUUAUAUUUUUGGACAGAGGCUUGCCAAGGUUGGGACGAAAGUUAUACGAGCUAACGCAUAUAUGCUCUAAAUUGAGAACCGAAGAGGAUUAGGGUGUGUUUAAGGCGAGGCGGCUGGUUUUCAUUAAAUCGACUCCUUAAUGCUUGACACGAGCAGUUCCGAUGCUCUCAGGAAUCAAUGCAAUCAUUAUGAUCCAUUUUCGUACAAUUACCAGACCUCGGAGAUGGAAAAACGUCCACCGCCGUCUCGUCCGCGCGUUUCAGGGCAAUGUGGUUCAUCGACAUUGAAGAACAAUUAGAUUUCCGCGAAAAAGACGUCCCUACUGGGACGAAGAUAAUUGCUGGUAAUGACCUGCGUGUACACGAUGAAGACAACUUGCUGGGUGAAAUGUAGAACGCAAUAUCACACACGCAAAGAAAUACAUUCUUAUCAAAAGCAUUCUUGUCUCGCAGAAAAACAGAGUUGACAGUGGAGUGCUCGCGAAAGGAGUGGUAAUGAUGAUGAUGAUCCUGUUAUACUAUUUCCGAGAAUGUCCAUACGUGGGCUUUGGUUCACACGCACGCGCACGCAUACAAAUCACUCAAGCUUUCAUAACAUAACGCAGCAAGUUGAUUCAUUGAGGAUGUUGAUAAACGAAUUAAAUUACUCUCGUACAGAGAAUCGACGGAGGCGUACACUGUAACGUUUUGAAAUGCAAAUUGGCAAUUCGAUCAAUCCGUAACACAAAACGAUUCAUCCUGUAUGAUCAUUUUUAUAUCUGCUUGUGAUUAAACAGCAGACUGACUCACGAGAGAGAAAUAGGUGUUCUCUAAGAAUUUUUACAAGAGAAGUACAAGACCCAUUUAUUUGCAGGACCUCUUGAAAUAUGGACCACGAUAAAUCGAUUUGUGAGUUGGUAGAAUAUAAAUUUCAUAAAUCUUAAGCAUUAGAAACCUUGUUAUAAAAGGGAUAUUUAUAUAUUUAUGUUUGUCACAUAUUAAUUUUAGCCAGUUCUUUUUAUGUGUUAAUGUAAUAACCUCAAUUCCAAUGCAUAUUUACAUAUAUCAUAGAUGAUUAUAUAAUAAAACAAAGAGUUGAAACAUAAAUGAGUUAGUGAUAGCUUAUUCGAGACCGCAAAGUUAUUAUUCGGAAUGCGAGAAAUAUUUGUUCUUAAUGAUGAAAUUCCACCGUGUAGAAUGUUUGACUAUUAAUUUCAGGUGGCUCUUAACGGUUUCUUUACUUCCUAUGGACGUUAUGCAAGAAUACGUUCUAGCUCGGCAUUGUCUGCAUAGCAGAAUAUACGGUCUAUGCACGCUUCCUUGUAAACCGUUAAAUUUGCAGCCAAUGAUUCUGCACGUUCGAUUGAACGCCAAGAGAGAAUGCUGCACAAAUAUGGGGGUAAAGACAGCAACUUGUCAAUGUAAUAGGAACGCAGUGAGAAGGCAGGAAAAGAUUGAUGCGUACAAAUCGUACGCGGAGAAUUGUUAAAUGAAAUGCAAUCGACUCGCGUUUGAUUUAGUCGCGUCAAUCAAGUUAAUUUAUUUAAGAUCUCAAUCACCUUUAUGUGGUUCUCUUCAGAAGACACAAACUGCGAUAUAAUUAAAUAAAAAUUACGUAAUUAUUUGAUAUAAUUACACCUUUGACAAGCUAUAUUAUAUAUUAUGUAGUCUAACUUUUCAAGACAACAAAUCUGUCAUACAUAUUUUUCUAUAUCAAUUUAGUUCUGUUUUUCAAUAUAUACUCUUCUCGAAAUAUUAGCUUAUACAUUAUUCAUAUAAUAAAGCUUGGCAUAGCAAUAAUUACGUAAAACACAUUUUUACAAACAAGCUAACAAAGUAACUGAUUUUUGUUUACACUAAGAAAUAAAAUAAAGUAUUAUAAAUAUUGUUUGUUGCUUCAAAUGGUUGAGUUGUGAAUUAAAGUUAUAUUAUAAAUAAAUCUUUCAUUCCUAAGUAUA
Long non-coding RNA from Hylaeus volcanicus, 3055 nucleotides. RefSeq lists it as uncharacterized. Lineage: Eukaryota; Metazoa; Arthropoda; Insecta; Hymenoptera; Colletidae. The transcript is spliced from 5 exons. The record is from RefSeq and is a predicted model, not a curated record.